This 460-nucleotide ribosomal RNA is filed under the name uncultured bacterium. Its description in RNAcentral is "partial 16S ribosomal RNA". It matches the Rfam family "Bacterial small subunit ribosomal RNA", at positions 338 to 795 of the family's 1533-position model. The record is from RNAcentral.
CCUACGGGAGGCAGCAGUGAGGAAUCUUGGUCAAUGGCCGGAAGGCUGAACCAGCCAUGCCGCGUGAAGGUCAGUGCCCUAUGGGCGUUAAACUUCUUUUGUGCGGGAGCAAUAAUGGUCACGUGUGGCCAGACGUGCGUACCGUACGAAUAAGCAUCGGCUAACUCCGUGCCAGCAGCAGCGGUAAUACGGGGAAUGCAAGCGUUAUCGCGAUUUAUUGGGUGUCAAGGGGGCGUAGGCUGUGAGGUAAGUCAGCGGUGAAAUGCCCACGCUCAACGGUGUGAAGUGUCAUUGAUACUGCCUUGCUGGAAUGCGGAUGCCGUGGUAGGAAUGUGUGGUGUAGCGGUGAAAUGCAUAGAUAUCACACAGAACACCGAUUGCGAAGGCAUCUCACGAAUCCGCGAUUGACGCUGAUGCACGAAAGCGUGGGUAUCAAACAGGAUUAGAUACCCUAGUAGUC